RNAcentral lists this long non-coding RNA (1046 nucleotides) under Homo sapiens (human). RNAcentral describes it as "HSALNT0298597". The record is from RNAcentral. Lineage: Eukaryota; Metazoa; Chordata; Mammalia; Primates; Hominidae.
AUAAAUGACUGAACCAGAAGAACUGAAGCUGAUGUCAGAUUUCUCGCUUGGGUGAUGAGGAACAAGGCAGGAAGAGCAGCAAUGAGGAUAGAGGUGGAAGGGCAGCUCAGGAAUUUCCCUGGAGUUUUCCCAUCUUGAGACUUCGGUCUUGGAAGACAGAAUGGCUGUGACAUAAUGUGGACUUUUUACUUCCACCUCUAGGAAAGCGUUCUUUGGAACACCUUUGCUGAGUCUCUCUCUCCUCCGCUCAAGGGAUUCCGCUGACACAUUGCAUUCUUGGGAGAACCUUCCAAUUCCAAUUAUGGACUAGCUGCUCCUACCCUGUGCUCUUCGCUUGGAUGUUGUCUCCAUUUACAAGGCCAAAACAGGUUCAUCAUCAGCUCAUCACUCUCUAGUCCCGGGAAGGGCAGCAUGGAGUUAAAAUGACAGAGGAAGAAGGCAUUUUCACACAAGGCUGGCCAGAUGGGAAGAAUCUUCAGCUUCAGCUUCAGCUUGGCCUCAUUCAUUUGAAAAUAAAAUGUUUACAUGAGGCCGCGCCUGUGUCCAGCUGAAAGUGGGUCCUUCAGAGCGUGUGGGGGAUUCUCUGCCGGCUUGAUGGGCUAGCUCCUCUAAGCCGGCUGCUGGAGACAUCACCGGCUGAGGGACUCCUGCAAACGUUCAUACAUGAUUUGAUCCUGAAAGGAGGGAGAACACAGAAUACAGAGACCGUCACUGCUUGUUUUGGGCUGAAUGGUGCCCCCCAAAAUUCACAUGCUGCAGUCCGCACCCGCAGGACCUCAGAAUGUGAUUGUAACUGGAGAGAGGGUCUUUAUAGAGGAGACUGGAUUAAAAUGAGGUCAUACAGGUAGACUCUUAUCCAAUAUGACUGCUCUCCUUACAAAAAGAGGGGAUUAGGGCACAGGAGGGAAGAGCAUGUGCGCAGAGGGAAAAGCACAUGCAGGCGCUGGGAGAAGACAGCCAUCAGUGAGGACAAAGGCUCCAGAAGAACCAAUCCUGCCCAACACUCUCCAGAACUGUGAGAAAAUAAAUUUUCCACUUUUUAAGCC